GGUUGUUCAGGAGAAGAAAGUUUUGGAAGUAAUUGUGGAGAAGGGCAUGCAAAAUGGACAAAAGAUUACAUUCCCUGGUGAAGCAGAUGAAGCGCCCGACACUGUUACUGGCGAUAUCGUUUUUGUCCUACAACAAAAAGAACACCCGAAGUUCAAGAGAAAGGGUGAUGACCUCUUCGUGGAGCAUACCUUGUCGCUUGUCGAGUCUCUUUGUGGUUUCCAAUUUAUUCUGACACAUUUGGAUGGCCGGCAGCUACUCAUCAAGACGCUUCCCGGUGUAG
RNAcentral lists this unclassified non-coding RNA (281 nucleotides) under Hevea brasiliensis (rubber tree). Lineage: Eukaryota; Viridiplantae; Streptophyta; Magnoliopsida; Malpighiales; Euphorbiaceae. The record is from RNAcentral.